Molecule: ribosomal RNA, 298 nt
Filed under: uncultured bacterium
Lineage: Bacteria
Description: partial 16S ribosomal RNA
Rfam family: Bacterial small subunit ribosomal RNA
Source: RNAcentral
AUUGAACGCUGGCGGCAUGCCUUACACAUGCAAGUCGAACGGCAGCACGGGAGCAAUCCUGGUGGCGAGUGGCGAACGGGUGAGUAAUAUAUCGGAACGUGCCCAGUCCUGGGGGAUAACGUAGCGAAAGCUACGCUAAUACCGCAUACGAUCUAUGGAUGAAAGCGGGGGAUCGCAAGACCUCGCGCGAUUGGAGCGGCCGAUAUCAGAUUAGGUAGUUGGUGAGGUAAAGGGCUCACCAAGCCGACGAUCUGUAGCUGGUCUGAGAGGACGACCAGCCACACUGGGACUGAGACAC